GUCUACGGCCAUGCCACACUGAACGCGCCCGCUCUCGUCUCAUCUCGGAAGCUAAGCAGGGUCGGCCUGGUUAGUACUUGGUUGGGAGAACGCCUGGGAAUACCAGGUGCUGUAGGCU
RNAcentral lists this ribosomal RNA (118 nucleotides) under Saimiri boliviensis boliviensis (Bolivian squirrel monkey). The record is from RNAcentral. Lineage: Eukaryota; Metazoa; Chordata; Mammalia; Primates; Cebidae.